This 487-nucleotide long non-coding RNA is filed under the name Brassica napus (rape). RNAcentral describes it as "long non-coding RNA (BNAP_LNC026218)". Lineage: Eukaryota; Viridiplantae; Streptophyta; Magnoliopsida; Brassicales; Brassicaceae. The record is from RNAcentral.
AAAUAAGUUUCAAUGAUAUGAAAUGAAAAAGAGUAACCUGACGGUCAUUAGGCGCUAGUUGGAUCCUCUCGAGGCUCAGAACAAACAAAUUUGUUCAAUAAUGCACCUGCAUUUAUUAUUAUUGUUUUACGUAAAUUUUAUAAAAUUGAUGAUUGAUAACUGUUUUAGAACUGAAACUGUUUAAAAUUUAUCUAUGCAUUAUUAAAUAGUAAAAAUAUUAAAUUAUAAAAUAAUAUUAAUAUUAAUUAGAAGUGACGUAAAAAUACUAUUAUUAGUGACCAAUAAUUUAAUUAUAAAAAAAUUAUUGAUCCGUACUUUGAUAUUUCUUAGAAAUAUUAUUUAUUCACCAACCAAUAAAAGUCUGCAAGCUCAUAUUCAGUAGUUGAAAAAAAAGAAACAAAAUAAUAGAAUUUGCCAAAUUAUAUCAUAUAUUUUUUUAAGUAAAAAUAAAUAAAAAAUAGUACAAACCUUUUCUAACAUUGUUAAC